UAGGGAAUCUUCGGCAAUGGACGAAAGUCUGACCGAGCAACGCCGCGUGAGUGAAGAAGGUUUUCGGAUCGUAAAACUCUGUUGUUAGAGAAGAACAAGGACGUUAGUAACUGAACGUCCCCUGACGGUAUCUAACCAGAAAGCCACGGCUAACUACGUGCCAGCAGCCGCGGUAAUACGUAGGUGGCAAGCGUUGUCCGGAUUUAUUGGGCGUAAAGCGAGCGCAGGCGGUUUCUUAAGUCUGAGGUGAAAGCCCCCGGCUCAACCGGGGAGGGUCAUUGGAAACUGGGAGACUUGAGUGCAGAAGAGGAGAGUGGAAUUCCAUGUGUAGCGGUGAAAUGCGUAGAUAUAUGGAGGAACACCAGUGGCGAAGGCGGCUCUCUGAUCUGUAACUGACGCUGAGGCUCGAAAGCGUGGGGAGCAAACAGG
This 429-nucleotide ribosomal RNA is filed under the name Gemmatimonadota bacterium. RNAcentral describes it as "Gemmatimonadetes bacterium partial 16S ribosomal RNA". It matches the Rfam family "Bacterial small subunit ribosomal RNA", at positions 355 to 776 of the family's 1533-position model. The record is from RNAcentral. Lineage: Bacteria; Pseudomonadati; Gemmatimonadota.